GAAAUGCGAUAAGUAAUGUGAAUUGCAGAAUUCAGUGAAUCAUCGAAUCUUUGAACGCACCUUGCGCUCCUUGGUAUUCCUUGGAGCAUGCCUGUUUGAGUAUCAUGAAAUCUUCAAAGUAAAUCUUUUGUUAACUCAAUUGGUUUCUACUUUGGUAUUGGAGGUCUUUGCAGCUUCACACCUGCUCCUCUUUGUUCAUUAGCUGGAUCUCAGUGUUAUGCUUGGUUCCACUCGGCGUGAUAAGUUAUCUAUCGCUGAGGACACUGUAAUAGGUGGCCAAGGUAAAUGCAGAUGAACCGCUUCUAAUAGUCCAUUGACUUGGACAAUACUUUUAUGAUCUGAUCUCAAAUCAGGUAGGACUACCCGCUGAGCUUAAGC
This 378-nucleotide unclassified non-coding RNA is filed under the name plant metagenome. RNAcentral's name for it is "partial contains 5.8S ribosomal RNA, internal transcribed spacer 2, and large subunit ribosomal RNA". The stretch from base 1 to 105 matches the Rfam family "5.8S ribosomal RNA", at positions 50 to 154 of the family's 154-position model. The record is from RNAcentral.